This 468-nucleotide ribosomal RNA is filed under the name uncultured bacterium. RNAcentral describes it as "partial 16S ribosomal RNA". It matches the Rfam family "Bacterial small subunit ribosomal RNA", at positions 28 to 507 of the family's 1533-position model. The record is from RNAcentral.
GACGAACGCUGGCGGCGUGCUUAACACAUGCAAGUCGAACGGAAAGGCCCUGCUUUUGUGGGGUGCUCGAGUGGCGAACGGGUGAGUAACACGUGAGUAACCUGCCCUUGACUUUGGGAUAAGUUCAGGAAACUGGGGCUAAUACUGGAUAGGAGCUCCUGCUGCAUGGUGGGGGUUGGAAAGUUUCGGCGGUUGGGGAUGGGCUCGCGGCUUAUCAGCUUGUUGGUGGGGUAGUGGCUUACCAAGGCUUUGACGGGUAGCCGGCCUGAGAGGGUGACCGGAGAAGUUGGGACUGAGAAACGGCACAGACUCCUACGGGAGGCAGCAGUGGGGAAUAUUGGACAAUGGGCGAAAGCCUGAUGCAGCGACGCCGCGUGAGGGAUGAAGGCCUUCGGGUUGUAAACCUAUGUCAGCAGGGAAGAAGCGAAAGUGACGGUACCGGAAGAAGAAGCACCGGCUAACUAAGUG